UGGGGAGCGCGGACGUCCCCAGUGUCUGGGGACAGUCCCCGUUUUGGAUGAUCCGUGCCCCGGCUAAAGGAGUCCCCGAAAAUGCCGACCUGGGUUUCAGCGUUUUAUGAAUGAUCGUUAUUACGGUAGCCGGAAACUGGAAACAGCUGUCAGUAUGUUGCUUAAAGUCUCGGGGGUCUGUGUUUUCAUCCGGGCUGAAGGUGGCGCCCUUCAGCAGGAUGGGAGGGGAGCGACUUCAGGACCGCGUUUAGAAGACCCUAUUCCCUAUUUUCCAGGAACAACCUGGUACCACUCACACUCACAUCCACACCUGGGAGCUGCAUCUGCUCAUCACCUGGACCCAUAAUGUCUCUUCAAGUGGCCACUCUGCAAAUUUGAAAUUUCCUUUGACAAAGAAAGUGUCAUGAUUUAACAAACAUACAAGUCAAUUACUUUAGUAAAAGAAAUAUGAUUUGCCUUGUUAUCUACAAGCUUAUUUUAACUGUAAUAGUGUUAAAAUAGUAAUACUUUUAUCAUAGAUAAACUAUGUCACUACUCACAGCUGCCCUGGGGCAGACUGACGGAAACAUGGCUGACAGACUGGGGACAGGGCGAAAUCAAACUGCCAACAUUUAUUUCAGUUAUUGGACGACUGCUCUACCUCCUGAGCUACUGCCAGACUACUUUAUCAGAGAAAGCAACUAAUUACUCCUGCUACUUAUUCUAACUUAUUUGUUUUCCUUCCUUUCUUCUGAGAAAUGUCCAUGCAAAUUGUUACCUUACUUUUCAGACUUGUGUAACAAGUAUAAAUAAAUAAAUUUUAAGUUGUGCUAACGGAA
This is a long non-coding RNA of Mugil cephalus (flathead mullet), 818 nucleotides long. RefSeq lists it as uncharacterized. The transcript has 3 exons. Lineage: Eukaryota; Metazoa; Chordata; Actinopteri; Mugiliformes; Mugilidae. The record is from RefSeq and is a predicted model, not a curated record.